Vigna angularis (adzuki bean) is the source of this 341-nucleotide long non-coding RNA. RefSeq lists it as uncharacterized. The record is from RefSeq and is a predicted model, not a curated record. NCBI's taxonomy places the organism in Eukaryota, Viridiplantae, Streptophyta, Magnoliopsida, Fabales, Fabaceae. The transcript is spliced from 5 exons.
CGAACACUUUUGAGAACACUUCUCCUAAGAGUAUAUCCUCUGCACAGGCUAAAAGAUUCACAAAAUUCAGGGAAAGGAAAGGGCUUAUUGAGAAAGAUGUGGUGAGAACUGAUAGAUCGAUCCUUUCAAAUAUUCUACGAGAUAUACUGUUGACCUAUUCAUUUUACAACUUUGAUCUUGGUUAUUGCCAGAGCAAAAGAAACAAAAAGUUUCUGAAAUAAAGACUGGAAUUGAUGAAGCUGAAGCUUUGAUUCGAAAAAUGGACCUCGAGGCAAGAAGUUUGCAGCCAAACGUCAAGGGUGUGCUUCUUGCUAAGUUGCGGGAGUAUAAAUCAGAUCUAA